Molecule: long non-coding RNA, 277 nt
Organism: Callorhinus ursinus (northern fur seal)
Lineage: Eukaryota; Metazoa; Chordata; Mammalia; Carnivora; Otariidae
Source: RefSeq, a predicted model, not a curated record
UUCGCCACCCUUGCUGGGUGGGCGGUUGGGCGCAGGCUGCCAUGUCCCUGGUUCUUCCCCGGGCUGCACUCUCCAGAGAUACCAGGAGGAUGCCCUGCUGGGUUAACAGGUUGUGGCUUUCACUUCCUCCUCACUGGCAGGCACCUCAAGCAAUCAUUUCUCCUAAUAACUCUGUACACCUCCCCCUUAAGGAAAUCACUCACACCGAGGCUUAAGCAACUGACAAGCGUUCAUCCUUUAAUUUAAGACACAGACAGAGGGAAGAUAAUGUGAGGAC